AGAGUUUGAUCAUGGCUCAGAGCGAACGCUGGCGGCAGGCCUAAUACAUGCAAGUCGAACGGCUCUUCGGAGCAGUGGCGGACGGGUGAGUAACGCGUGGGAACGUGCCCUUUGGUUCGGAACAACACAGGGAAACUUGUGCUAAUACCGAAUGUGCCCUUCGGGGGAAAGAUUUAUCGCCAUUGGAGCGGCCCGCGUUGGAUUAGCUAGUUGGUGGGGUAAAGGCCUACCAAGGCGACGAUCCAUAGCUGGUCUGAGAGGAUGAUCAGCCACACUGGGACUGAGACACGGCCCAGACUCCUACGGGAGGCAGCAGUGGGGAAUAUUGGGCAAUGGACGAAAGUCUGACCCAGCCAUGCCGCGUGAAUGAUGAAGGCCUUAGGGUUGUAAAGUUCUUUCGCCGAUGAAGAUAAUGACGGUAGUCGGAGAAGAAGCCCCGGCUAACUUCGUGCCAGCAGCCGCGGUAAUACGAAGGGGGCUAGCGUUGUUCGGAAUUACUGGGCGUAAAGCGAGCGUAGGUUGCUCGAUAAGUCAGUGGUGAAAGCCCAGAGCUCAACUCUGGAACUGCCAUUGAAACUGUCGAGCUGGAAUCUCAGAGGGGGUAGCGGAAUUCCAAAUGUAGGGGUGAAAUCCGUAGAUAUUUGGAGGAACACCGGUGGCGAAGGCGGCUACCUGGAUGAGUAUUGACACUGAGGCUCGAAAGCGUGGGGAUCAAACAGGAUUAGAUACCCUGGUAGUCC
Molecule: ribosomal RNA, 740 nt
Filed under: uncultured bacterium
Lineage: Bacteria
Description: bacterial SSU rRNA
Rfam family: Bacterial small subunit ribosomal RNA
Source: RNAcentral